GCUCGUAGUUGGAUUUCGGGUGGGUUCUAGCGGUCCGCCUAUGGUGAGUACUGCUAUGGCCUUCCUUUCUGUCGGGGACGGGCUUCUGGGCUUCACUGUCCGGGACUCGGAGUCGACGUGGUUACUUUGAGUAAAUUAGAGUGUUCAAAGCAGGCUUACGCCAGAAUACUUUAGCAUGGAAUAACACGAUAGGACUCUGGCCUAUCUUGUUGGUCUGUAGGACCGGAGUAAUGAUUAAGAGGGACAGUCGGGGGCAUUCGUAUUUCAUUGUCAGAGGUGAAAUUCUUGGAUUUAUGAAAGACGAACUACU
This 310-nucleotide ribosomal RNA is filed under the name Chlorella sp. KCTC AG10277. RNAcentral describes it as "SSU rRNA". It matches the Rfam family "Eukaryotic small subunit ribosomal RNA", at positions 626 to 944 of the family's 1831-position model. Lineage: Eukaryota; Viridiplantae; Chlorophyta; Trebouxiophyceae; Chlorellales; Chlorellaceae. The record is from RNAcentral. RNAcentral also lists the same sequence under 1 other name.